CCAAAGGCUCUUUUCAGAGCCACCCAUAUUUUCAGAAGGAGAGCUG
Oryctolagus cuniculus (rabbit) is the source of this 46-nucleotide regulatory RNA element. It matches the Rfam family "Histone 3' UTR stem-loop". From Rfam's summary of the family: The mRNAs of metazoan histone genes lack a poly-A tail. 3' end processing occurs at a site between a highly conserved stem-loop (modelled by this family) and a purine rich region around 20 nts downstream (the histone downstream element, or HDE). Lineage: Eukaryota; Metazoa; Chordata; Mammalia; Lagomorpha; Leporidae. The record is from Rfam.